RNAcentral lists this non-coding RNA (45 nucleotides) under Schistosoma curassoni. Lineage: Eukaryota; Metazoa; Platyhelminthes; Trematoda; Strigeidida; Schistosomatidae. The record is from RNAcentral.
AUCCAGCUGACGAGUCCAAAAUAGGACAAAACGCGCAUCCUUGAU